AUUGAACGCUGGCGGCAGGCCUAACACAUGCAAGUCGAACGGUAACAGGAAGCAGCUUGCUGCUUCGCUGACGAGUGGCGGACGGGUGAGUAAUGUCUGGGAAGCUGCCUGAUGGAGGGGGAUAACUACUGGAAACGGUAGCUAAUACCGCAUAAUGUCGCAAGACCAAAGAGGGGGACCUUCUGGCCUCUUGCCAUCGGAUGUGCCCAGAUGGGAUUAGCUUGUUGGUGGGGUAACGGCACACCAAGGCGACGAUCCCUAGCUGGUCUGAGAGGAUGACCAGCCACACUGGAACUGAGACACGGUCCAGACUCCUACGGGAGGCAGCAGUGGGGAAUAUUGGACAAUGGGCGCAAGCCUGAUGCAGCCAUGCCGCGUGGAUGAAGAAGGCCUUCGGGUUGUAAAGCCCUUUUGGGGGGAAGGAAGAGAAUAAGGUUAAUACCCCGCUAUUUUGACGUUACCCAAAGAAGAAGCACCGGCUAACUUCGUG
RNAcentral lists this ribosomal RNA (490 nucleotides) under uncultured bacterium. RNAcentral describes it as "partial 16S ribosomal RNA". It matches the Rfam family "Bacterial small subunit ribosomal RNA", at positions 30 to 507 of the family's 1533-position model. The record is from RNAcentral.